Molecule: small RNA, 2405 nt
Filed under: Pan troglodytes (chimpanzee)
Lineage: Eukaryota; Metazoa; Chordata; Mammalia; Primates; Hominidae
Description: processed transcript
Source: RNAcentral
CAACGCUUUUGACACGUCAAACUUUUCUAAACAUCAAGAAAAUCAUGCUGCUGAGAAAUCCUAGAAAUGUGAAGAAUGUGACAAAGCCUCUAAAUGAUUGUCACACUUGAUCGUAGGGCCCAGACAGAAGAGAAGAGUCACAUCAUCUAGAUGAUGAAUGAAAAGAUAUGUCAUUAUUCUCCUUUGGGCAGUGCUUCUGCAGAAAAGUUGCACCUUCUAGGUGUUGGACUCAGCAAUAUAUCACAAUGUCUGCGGUAUUUUGGAAGGAGAGGAGAGUCACCAUUACUUAGGUGCUAGGCCCAGCAAUACAUCUCAAUCACUUCUUGGGCAAAGCCCAAGCAGUAAAAAAGAGUCACAUUACCUAGGUUCUGGGUAUAGCAAUAUGUCACAAAUGCCCCUAAGAAGAGGGCCCAGGAAAAGAGAGUCACCUUGGUGAGAAUGUCAGAGAUAUUCCAUUUUUGGGUAUUCACAAAAAAGAAUAAAGUCCCAUAACCUAGAAGGUGGGCUCUGCUCCAUGACACAAAUCACCCUAGUGGGCAGGUCCAUUAAAGAGAAGGCUGUCAAAGCACAUAGAUGCUGGGCAAAGUGAUAUGUCAUAAUCCCCAUGAUGAUAGGCCCAGAGACAUGUCACAAUGACCUCUUUAGGCAGAGACCAGGCAGAAGAAUCACAUCACUUGUGUGCUGGCCCUAGUGAUAAGUCACUCUCAUUUCUGUGGACAUGGCCCAGGCAGAAGAGCAGAGUCACAUUACCUAAGCGCUGGGUCAAGAGAUAUGUCACAAUCUUUUACAUGGGCAAAACCCAGGUAAAAAAGAGGAGUAAUAUCAGAUAGUAGGUGUUGCCAGAGAUAUGUCAAAAUGCCCCCUGUAUGAAAGACUCAGGCAGUCAAAACACAUUAGUUGGUUUCUUAACCUAGUGAUAUGUUAUAAUCUUUCCUGUGGGCAUGAUGCAGGCAGAAGACGAGAGUCAUGUGAUGGAUGCAGAGACAUGUCACAAGGUCUUCUGUGGGCAGGGUCCAGACUGAAGCCUUCCACCUGCUAGGGGUUGAGCCCAAUGAUAUGUCACAAUACCCAAAUUAUGCAGGGCCCAGGCAAAAAAAACGAGAGGCACAUCACCUGGGUUCUGGAUCCAACGAUAUAUCACAAUUUUCUAUUUUGGCAAGACCCAGGCAGAAAGAAAAGUUACAUCACCUAGGUGAUGAAUGAAAAUACAUAUUAUAAUAGUUUUGUGGGCAGGACCCAUGCGGGAGAGUCACAUCACCUAGGUGUUGGACCCAGAAAUAUGUCACAAUAUACAGUGUAUACAGAGCUGAGGCAUGAGACAAUAGUAACUUCACUCAUUUGUUGAGCCCAGCUAUACAAUCCUUUUUUGGGCACAGCCGAAGUAGUAGAGGAGAGUUACAUCACCUUGGUGCUGGGUCCAGCAAUGUGUCACCAUACCUGCUGAGGGGAGGGUACAGGCAAGAGAGCCACAUCACUUAGGUGAGGGACCCAGAGAUAUCUCACAGUACCCCCUGUGGGUAGAACUCAGGAAAAAGGAGAGAGUCACAUAAUCUAGAAGCUGGGCUCAGCUGUAUGUUACAAUCACCCAGUGGACAGGUCCCAGGCAUGAGAGUAGAGUCACAUCACAUAGGUGCUGGACCAAGCAAUUUGUCACAACCUUCACUGUGGACAGGUCCCCAGAAAAAGAGAAUCACAUCAUUUAGGUAACAAAACCUGAGUUAGUCGCUGUUACUUGUUUGGGCAGAGGUCAGGAAGAAGUGUCACACAACAUGUAUGCUGGACUAAGCAAUACAUCACUCUCUCUGUUUUAGGCAUGGCCCAGGCAGGAGAGAAGGGUCAUAUCACCUAAGCUCUGGAUUCGCAGAUAGGCCCCAAUCUCUUUUUUGGGCAAUGCUCGGGUAAGAGAGCAGAGUCACAUCAAGUGGUUGAUGGGCCCAGAGAUAUAUCACAUUGCCCCUUGUGGACAGGGACCAGGCAGGGGACUCACAUCACGAUAGAGGUAGGACAAGGAAUACAUCACAAUACAUUUUGAGAGCAGAACCAAAAAAGAGUAACAUAAUCUUUGUGUUGAGUGCAGCAAUAUGUUACACUUUUCUUUGUGGGCAGAACGUGUAAAGAAGGAAAAAGUUGGCCGGACACGGUGGCCUGUAAUCCCAACACUUUGGGAGGUCAAGGUGGGCAGAUCACCUGAGGUCAGGAGUUCAAGACCAGCCUGGCCAACAUGGCAAAACGCUGUCUCUACUAAAAAUACAAAAAUGGGCUGGGUGUGGUGGCAGGCACCUGUAAUUCUAGCUACUCAGGAGGCUGAGGCAGGAGAGUCACCUGAACCUUUGAGGCAGAGGCUGCAGUAAGCAAAGAUCACGCCACUGCACUCCAGUGUGGGUGACACAGCAAGACUCCGUCUC